GGGAUAGCAUUUUAGGAGUUUUAUGGAUUCCCCUUGCCACAGUGGAAUAUGCAACAGAUGAAGGCCCAGGUUCCUGGUGGAGAUUGCAUUCUGAAGUAAUAAAAAAUGGAAGUGAGAUUCAAGGCACAAAAACACCAACUUCUCAUGAGAUCUUACUAGACAUCUACUUUGCAUUGCCAUUUGAUACCCACAGAGAUUUAGAUUGCAGAGGUUUGCACAGAGAGACAACCCUCCAAUGUACAAGACAUUCACAUCAAGAUACAAAUGACAGACAG
This is a non-coding RNA of Lonchura striata (white-rumped munia), 275 nucleotides long. Lineage: Eukaryota; Metazoa; Chordata; Aves; Passeriformes; Estrildidae. The record is from RefSeq and is a predicted model, not a curated record.